This 225-nucleotide ribosomal RNA is filed under the name uncultured bacterium. RNAcentral describes it as "partial 16S ribosomal RNA". It matches the Rfam family "Bacterial small subunit ribosomal RNA", at positions 28 to 258 of the family's 1533-position model. The record is from RNAcentral.
GACGAACGCUGGCGGCGUGCUUAACACAUGCAAGUCGAGCGGUAAGGCCCUCGGGUACACGAGCGGCGAACGGGUGAGUAACACGUGGGUGACCUGCCUCUAGCUCUGGGAUAAGCCUGGGAAACUGGGUCUAAUACCGGAUAUGACUCCACGGCGCAUGUUGUGGGGUGGAAAGCCUUGUGCGGCUAGAGAUGGGCCCGCGGCCUAUCAGCUUGUUGGUGGGGU